RNAcentral lists this ribosomal RNA (681 nucleotides) under uncultured Chloroflexota bacterium. RNAcentral describes it as "bacterial SSU rRNA". It matches the Rfam family "Bacterial small subunit ribosomal RNA", at positions 68 to 762 of the family's 1533-position model. The record is from RNAcentral. Lineage: Bacteria; Bacillati; Chloroflexota.
GGGACUUUUGUAGCAAUACGGAGGUUCCUAGUGGCGAAUGGGUGAGUAACGCGUUGGUGACCUGCCCCGAAGCGUGGGAUAACAGAUCGAAAGGUCUGCUAAUACCGCAUGAGGUUACGGUAGUUAGAGAGCCGUAACGAAAGGCGAAAGCCGUUUUGGGAGGGGCCUGCGUCCCAUCAGCUAGUUGGUAGGGUAAAGGCCUACCAAGGCGACGACGGGUAGGGGACCUGAGAGGGUGACCCCCCACACUGGCACUGAAACACGGGCCAGACACCUACGGGUGGCAGCAGUAGGGAAUAUUGCACAAUGGGCGAAAGCCUGAUGCAGCAACGCCGCGUGCACGAUGAAGGCCUUCGGGUCGUAAAGUGCUUUUCGGGGAGAAGAGGAAGGACGGUAUCCCCGGAAUAAGGAUCGGCUAACUACGUGCCAGCAGCCGCGGUAAAACGUAGGAUCCGAGCGUUAUCCGAAUUCACUGGGCGUAAAGCGCGUGCAGGCGGUUCAGUAAGUUGGAUGUAAAAGCUCCUGGCUCAACUGGGAGAGGACGUUCAAUACUGUUGGACUAGAGGGCGGCAGAGGGAGGUGGAAUUCCCGGUGUAGUGGUGAAAUGCGUAGAUAUCGGGAGGAACAUCAGUGGCGAAGGCGGCCUUCUGGUCCAAUACUGACGCUCAGGUGCGAAAGCGU